AACGAACGCUGGCGGCAUGCCUAACACAUGCAAGUCGAACGAGACCUUCGGGUCUUGUGGCGCACGGGUGCGUAACGCGUGGUAACCUGCCCUUAGGUUCGGAAUACCUCCCCGAAGGGGGUGCUAAUACCGGUUAAUGUCUUCGGACCAAAGAUUUAUCGCCUUUGGAUGGGGCCGCGUUGGAUUAGCUAGUUGGUAGUGUAAAAGCCUACCAAGGCGACGAUCCAUAGCUGGUCUGUGAGGAUGAUCAGCCACACUGGGACUGAGACACGGCCCAGACUCCUACGGGAGGCAGCAGUGGGGAAUAUUGGACAAUGGGCGAAGGCCUGAUCCAGCAAUGCCGCGUGAGUGAUGAAGGCCUUAGUGUUGUAAAGCUCUUUUACCCGGGAUGAUAAUGACAGUACCGGGAGAAUAAGCUCCGGCUAACUACGUG
This 433-nucleotide ribosomal RNA is filed under the name uncultured bacterium. Its description in RNAcentral is "partial 16S ribosomal RNA". It matches the Rfam family "Bacterial small subunit ribosomal RNA", at positions 29 to 507 of the family's 1533-position model. The record is from RNAcentral.